ACUACUUGGCUGUUGACACAACACAUUUCACAUGUGACUUAGUUAUUUCACCUCGGUAUUAUCUCUGGAUUUUCGGUCACGGUUUUUGAUUUUCAUUACUAAUGUACUGUUUCGCCCCUGUUUUGUCUAUCACAUAGCUCAAAUCCCAAACUUAGUGUUCAUUCAUCGUAGUAGGCAUCUACAGGUUAUUAUUAAUUAAAAAGAAGUAUGGCUACCAAAAAUGUANAACACUUGAAAAAGCGGAAACGACCUGCACCACCUGUGAAUUCGGAAGACAAUGACGAAAAUUAUAAUGAUGCAAUUCAAAUCAGAGUGGGAUCUAAUUAUCAGGCUGACAUCCCAGAGCUUUUGUCACAGCCAGAAAACAAGCAUAAACAGCGUCCAAAAUCACUGUUAGUUUGGUUUCCGCCCAAAAAUAUUUCAGAAAUUCAAUUAAAUGAUUACAUAUUGUUUUCAAAAAAUAAAUAUGGUUAUGACACUGAACAGUGUUUAGGCUUAUUGUACUGGAAUAAACACAAUUUGAAAAAAUCUAUUCGUGAUUUAUCCAUGUUUUCACCCCAAUCAGAUUGGUCCAUUCUUGAUAAGUCUAACUUUGAAUCUGCCUUUAACAAGGUUGGGAAGAAUUUUGCACAAAUUACAAAAAUGCUUCCUGACAAGUCAUUAAAAUCAAUAAUCUGUUAUUAUUAUUUAUGGAAAAAAAAAAAAACUGAGCUGUUGAGUGUUAAACCAACAAAGAAAUCGGAAAAUUUUUGUGCUGACAAGAUUCAAAAUGGCAGUAGUUAUAAGCCUAGUUCAGCAAAAUCAAAGCCUGAUAAUUUGGACUAAUGAAGUAUUCACCACUACAAGACAAGUAUGUUAAUAAUAUUAUGAUAAUCUUCAAUCUAUUGCAUUUGGAUCAAAUAGCCUAGGAGGAACUAUCUUAUCAGCAAUGGAUGAUGAGAUACAGUCCAACAACUAAACUAUUGGACAUAUGCAUUAGAAGAUUAAACUAUAUGAUACUGUAUAUAGAAACAAUGAAUCCAAUAUGAGUUACAUUAUUCCAUUUUCAAGUUUUGCAUAAUGUCCAAAAUAAAAUUAAGGGAACAUUUUAACAAUACAAUUCAUUACUAACUUACAAAGAAGUACAUAUAACAUUUAUGUGAUUUAAUGUUUCAUUAUUUUUUAAAUUGUCCAUUAUUUUAAUUGU
RNAcentral lists this unclassified non-coding RNA (1186 nucleotides) under Diuraphis noxia (Russian wheat aphid). RNAcentral's name for it is "rEST corepressor 2-like, transcript variant X2". Lineage: Eukaryota; Metazoa; Arthropoda; Insecta; Hemiptera; Aphididae. The record is from RNAcentral.